RNAcentral lists this non-coding RNA (183 nucleotides) under Deltaproteobacteria bacterium. RNAcentral describes it as "6S RNA". It matches the Rfam family "6S / SsrS RNA". From Rfam's summary of the family: E. coli 6S RNA was the first non coding RNA to be sequenced, but its function was unknown until recently. It consists of 184 nucleotides that fold into an extended hairpin structure with a large single-stranded internal bulge. The record is from RNAcentral. Lineage: Bacteria; Pseudomonadati; Myxococcota; Myxococcia.
CACCCCCUGGAACGCGCGUGAUGCACGUUCACCGUAGGCCUCACAAGCAUUCAGAAUAGGGAGGCAACGCUGAACCGGUGUGCAAGCCCGUUUUUUGCGGGAAGCCUGAAGGGUCAGCGACGCUUCCCGCCGUAGGAGCUAAGGCCCUGCGGAGAACUACGCACACGACGUUCCGGGGCGCAA